Molecule: long non-coding RNA, 528 nt
Filed under: Coturnix japonica (Japanese quail)
Lineage: Eukaryota; Metazoa; Chordata; Aves; Galliformes; Phasianidae
Description: lncRNA (ENSCJPG00005010377.1)
Source: RNAcentral
AUGAGGCAUUUGGUAUGCAGAGGAGAAGAUAAUGAUCCAGAUAAUCAUGGUCUCAUUGGCAAAUAUUUGUUGUUUGUCCAUUUGUUUUGUGAGAAGAUUUUUACCUAUUGGAUACUUGAGUUGAGGCACUUGGGUAGCAGGUUACUGUCAAAUAGCACAUGUUCCUUCAUGGGGUGGUUGUCAACUCAAGACUUCAAACUUGUUUGAAAAUUUUUAGCAUCGACAUUUCUGUGACAGACGUUUUUCAAAGUAAGUAAGACAAAUGAACACAAAGCGAUCCAGCUAAGCAAUAGUCUUUUUACUGUCAUUUUCCAUCCUCUAUGCCCUGUUCCUAGCAAUGCCUGCUCUGAUUUAGAUAAGGUACUUAGUUUUGAAAGUAUUUCAAAUACUGUUUUAUUCUAUCAUCUUCCAACAGUGCAUCCCCAGUGGGACAAAAAAUGCCUUUCAGGCUCUCACAGAGAAGUUUGUGAAUGAAGCAAUUGGUAUAAAGUGUUCAUGUGUUGAAUAAAUGUCAUUUUCCCCUUUUCA